RNAcentral lists this transfer RNA (84 nucleotides) under Haloferax sulfurifontis. RNAcentral's name for it is "tRNA-Leu". It matches the Rfam family "tRNA". Rfam says of the family: Transfer RNA (tRNA) molecules are approximately 80 nucleotides in length. Their secondary structure includes four short double-helical elements and three loops (D, anti-codon, and T loops). Lineage: Archaea; Methanobacteriati; Methanobacteriota; Halobacteria; Halobacteriales; Haloferacaceae. The record is from RNAcentral.
GCGCGGGUAGCCAAGUGGCCAAAGGCGCAGCGCUUAGGACGCUGUGGUGUAGACCUUCGCAGGUUCGAACCCUGUCCCGCGCAC